This 222-nucleotide long non-coding RNA is filed under the name Malus domestica (apple). RNAcentral's name for it is "long non-coding RNA (MDOM_LNC010128)". Lineage: Eukaryota; Viridiplantae; Streptophyta; Magnoliopsida; Rosales; Rosaceae. The record is from RNAcentral.
UGACAACAUCCAUAAGCAUCACUCAUGUCAAUCAACAUAAACAUUCAUGAGCAUCACUCAUGUCAAUCAGCUUCAAAAGCUUCAUUUAUAGAGCUCUAGCUUCAAAAGCUUCAUUUACAGAGCUCUAGCUUCAAAAGCUUCAUUUACAAAAGCUCCAGCUUCGAAAGCUUCAUUUACAGAGCUCUAGCUUCAAAGCUUCACUUGCAAAGCUUCACCUAUAAA